CCUACGGGAGGCAGCAGUGGGGAAUUUUGGACAAUGGGGGCAACCCUGAUCCAGCCAUGCCGCGUGAGUGAAGAAGGCCUUCGGGUUGUAAAGCUCUUUCGGCCGGAACGAAAUCGCGCACGUGAAUAACGUGCGUGGAUGACGGUACCGGAGUAAGAAGCACCGGCUAACUACGUGCCAGCAGCCGCGGUAAUACGUAGGGUGCGAGCGUUAAUCGGAAUUACUGGGCGUAAAGCGUGCGCAGGCGGUUCGCUAAGUCAGACGUGAAAGCCCCGGGCUUAACCUGGGAACGGCGUUUGAAACUGGCGGGCUCGAGUACGGCAGAGGGGGGUGGAAUUCCACGUGUAGCAGUGAAAUGCGUAGAUAUGUGGAGGAACACCGAUGGCGAAGGCAGCCCCCUGGGCCGAUACUGACGCUCAUGCACGAAAGCGUGGGGAGCAAACAGGAUUAGAUACCCUGGUAGUCCACGCCCUAAACUAUGUCAACUAGUUGUCGGGGAAGCAAUUCCUUGGUAACGCAGCUACGACGUGAGUAGUACGCCGUGGGAGGUACGGUCGCGAGAGUAAACUACGUAAGGUAAGUAGUUAGNGUGAGAGUGCGAGGCGACGACGAGGAGAGG
RNAcentral lists this ribosomal RNA (619 nucleotides) under uncultured bacterium. Its description in RNAcentral is "bacterial SSU rRNA". The stretch from base 1 to 541 matches the Rfam family "Bacterial small subunit ribosomal RNA", at positions 338 to 873 of the family's 1533-position model. The record is from RNAcentral.